This 253-nucleotide ribosomal RNA is filed under the name uncultured bacterium. RNAcentral describes it as "partial 16S ribosomal RNA". It matches the Rfam family "Bacterial small subunit ribosomal RNA", at positions 524 to 776 of the family's 1533-position model. The record is from RNAcentral. RNAcentral also lists the same sequence under 1 other name.
GACGAACCGAGCGAACGUUGUUCGGAAUCACUGGGCUUAAAGGGCGCGUAGGCGGGCUGUCAAGUCUGGGGUGAAAUCCCGCGGCUCAACCGCGGAACUGCCUCAGAUACUGACGGCCUCGAGGGAGAUAGGGGCGAGCGGAACUAAUGGUGGAGCGGUGAAAUGCGUUGAUAUCAUUAGGAACUCCGGUGGCGAAGGCGGCUCGCUGGAUCUUUUCUGACGCUGAGGCGCGAAAGCUAGGGGAGCAAACGGG